RNAcentral lists this ribosomal RNA (524 nucleotides) under uncultured bacterium. Its description in RNAcentral is "partial 16S ribosomal RNA". It matches the Rfam family "Bacterial small subunit ribosomal RNA", at positions 28 to 523 of the family's 1533-position model. The record is from RNAcentral.
GACGAACGCUGGCGGCGUGCCUAAUACAUGCAAGUCGAGCGCAGGAAGCUGACGGAACUCUUCGGAGGGAAGGCAGUGGAAUGAGCGGCGGACGGGUGAGUAACACGUAAGGAACCUGCCUCAAGGAUUGGGAUAACUCCGAGAAAUCGGAGCUAAUACCGGAUAGUUCAACGGACCGCAUGGUCCGCUGAUGAAAGGCGCUCCGGCGUCACCUUGAGAUGGCCUUGCGGUGCAUUAGCCAGUUGGGGGGGGAACGGCCCACCAAGGCGACGAUGCAUAGCCGACCUGAGAGGGUGAUCGGCCACACUGGGACUGAGACACGGCCCAGACUCCUACGGGAGGCAGCAGUAGGGAAUCUUCCACAAUGGACGAAAGUCUGAUGGAGCAACGCCGCGUGAGUGAUGAAGGUUUUCGGAUCGUAAAACUCUGUUGUAAGGGAAGAACACGUACGAGAGGAAAUGCUCGUACCUUGACGGUACCUUACGAGAAAGCCACGGCUAACUACGUGCCAGCCGCCGCCGUAA